GAUGAAGAACGUAGCGAAUUGCGAUAAGUAAUGUGAAUUGCAGAAUUCAGUGAAUCAUCGAAUCUUUGAACGCACCUUGCGCCCUCUGGUAUUCCGGAGGGCAUGCCCGGUUGAGUGUCAUGAAUAUCUCAAACCCAGCGCUUUGUCAAAGGUCCCCUUGACCUGCCCCGGUUGGCCUAGCGAGGCUUCGGUGGUGAUCCUUGGGACUGAGGUGUUGGGGCUUGGACUUGAGCUCCGUUGGCCCUCCUGGGUCGACCGGCUCAAAAUUGAUCAGCGAUGUGUGAUCCCUUGGGUCCAUCUUGGCGUGAUAAGUUGAUCGCCGCAAAAGGACUUCCUCGGGUGUGGCUUGCUUCUAACCGUCUUCGGACAGCGCCUGACGUUUACACCUCAACUCGGGUAGGACUACCCGCUGAACUUAAGCAUAUCAAUAAGCGGAGGA
RNAcentral lists this unclassified non-coding RNA (439 nucleotides) under soil metagenome. RNAcentral's name for it is "partial contains 5.8S ribosomal RNA, internal transcribed spacer 2, and large subunit ribosomal RNA". The stretch from base 1 to 120 matches the Rfam family "5.8S ribosomal RNA", at positions 35 to 154 of the family's 154-position model. The record is from RNAcentral.